UAUGCUGUAUCUGCAAAGAUGAUUCAUAUUGUGAAAAAAAAAGAAUACUUCCAAUAAGCGACAAUGUAUGCGUCAAAAGCAAGUGAUUAAGUCAGCAAAACAAUUUUAAAAAAUUGUCUUACAUAUUUUCUGUUCAUCUCAACUCACCUCAUCUCAGCGUGUACCGAAAGAGAAUUACCGGUGAUGUGUGCAAACUAGCGGAAAGAGAGAGAGAGAGCGCUUCACACAAGAAAAGUAAUUGUUCAUUUAUUUAAUGAGUUUUUGGUUGGUUUUAAAAGUUACAAGCUGUGGGUGUGGCAGUGAUGGAAGAAACAGUCUUUCUGUUAUAACACAACCAUUGUCACUGGGCAAAUGGGUGUCAGAUUGACAGUAGUUUUCCAGAGAAGCCAUCCUGAAGCAACUCGCCCAAUACCGCAUUAAUAACAACGACAAAAGAAAAAAAAUGUACUUUGAACUGUAAAAUUAAACAAUGUGUUCAGUUCAUGUUCAGCCUUGGCCUUGAUUCUGGAAGGAAUUGAUGCACUUUGUUCAUGUUUGACAUGGAAAUAUAACCAGGGUGUUUAAAAGUAAUGGAAUAAAGAUUCAAAAACUGAA
Molecule: long non-coding RNA, 594 nt
Organism: Schistocerca gregaria
Lineage: Eukaryota; Metazoa; Arthropoda; Insecta; Orthoptera; Acrididae
Exons: 2
Source: RefSeq, a predicted model, not a curated record